GAGUGUGUCUCCAGGGCCUGUCAGACCAGGGCUCUUGACCUCCCGCCAAUCGAUCCGAAUGCUUUCAACCCGAUUAUCAUCCGGUUUCUGGAAAAACUUACUGAGGAGCAAUGGAGGCAGUUAAGCAUUGGCAGGAUGGACCCUGUGAUGAGGGCAUUGCUUGCAGAGAUGUGCCUGGAGAUUGUGCGGUUUGUAUCUGAGGCCAUCCUGGAGGUCAUCAUCCCUGCAAUUUUCCGUUUUGUACGGAUAUACAGCCAUGUGUCUCCAGUAUCCGGCAAGUCUCUGACAGAAUCAGAGAGAUCCUCUAGCACAAACCUGAAGGUUCGCAAGAGAGGCAGCAGCAAAUCCUCAAGGUCUUGCACGGCCAAAUCAAGCUCCUCUCGUAAUGGGUCUCAGACAGUGUUGCCAAAUACUCAGGGAGAUGGUGAGUCUAUAUCAUCUGAGCCACUCAGUGACUUUUUUGGGAUUACUGAGGACAGUCUCCUCACUGGUGUCCAGGAUUCCUUCAAAGAGUCGCUGAACAAUGUCCUCUGUAUCCAAAGAGAGGACCAGGUAGACACUCAAAGUCUAUCCCGGGUUAUUGUUGGAGAAGUGUCAAAGAAGGUCAAUUCCAUAAUCUCUGUGGCCAUCCAAACUCCCAUCUCUGGCCGAAUG
Molecule: long non-coding RNA, 654 nt
Filed under: Oncorhynchus kisutch (coho salmon)
Lineage: Eukaryota; Metazoa; Chordata; Actinopteri; Salmoniformes; Salmonidae
Description: lncRNA (ENSOKIG00005027340.1)
Source: RNAcentral